RNAcentral lists this long non-coding RNA (1111 nucleotides) under Homo sapiens (human). RNAcentral describes it as "novel transcript". Lineage: Eukaryota; Metazoa; Chordata; Mammalia; Primates; Hominidae. The record is from RNAcentral.
GACUGCUCACCAAAAUGGGAGGCAGCCUCUGCUGCUGUGGUGAAGGUGAAGACACACUCAGCGAUUCAGCUCUACAGUAUGCACUCUGGGAUCUCCCAUUUGCUAAGGAAGGAUCUUAGCUUUGAGAAAGUGGCAAGAGAUCCCCUCUUGAGGAGACUCCGCAGGAACACCAGAGAUGAUAGUGACACACAACAACUGAAGGCAGAGGUACAGGCUGAGGAGAAAGAACAUAGUAACCACAAGCCUUAGAAAUGCUGCAGUUCACUAGCACACGCACCUAAGGCACAGCAGCAAACAGGAGCUCAAGGAACAACUUGGGCAUUAGCCUGGUGCCCAUCUCUCCUGCUGGAAUUCCUGCACAGCUGGGAUGGAGAGGGUCAGCGCCCCCACCUGCUGCUUCCAGGAUGGGCUCUCCCAGUGUCAGAGCCAGUGAGAGCCUGAGCAGUAGCAGACUCCCUGGACGCGUGUGUUGAAGAGGGAGACCGGAAGGACAGAUAGCACAUGUGACAUGUCAUGUUUAAAUGGUGUCAAGCCUGUGGCAGCAGAGCUUCCUGGGGAGUCCUCAGAGCAAGUCAUUGCCAUUGUCGAAGUGUCUUCUAGGCUUUAUUUUGGGGCCAUUACCUCGAGCACUGUUUCUUGUCUGGUUUCCUAAUGUCAGCAACUGAAGAAAAGACCUGUAUACACAGGACACAGCAUGGUCUGACGCUCACAGUGUUUUCCUUUCUCUCUGCAGAGGGAUUCAGCACUUUGGGCAAGUGGUUGCACAGAGGAUCCCGUGGAAGAAUUCAUAUAUGAAUCAGAUGAGAAUGCCCCAGGACCAUCGUAGGUCAGGCCACCUGCUUUUGUCAAAGAAAAAAGAUAACCCCUAUUUGAAUUAAAAUAUGAGAAUCUGACCAUAUGUAUCAUAGGUGACUUACACAGUGUCCUUGGUAAGGAGAAUUUAGAGUGAGAGUCUGUUCCCCACUGAGGUUUGAUUUAAGAUGGCAGAAGAAAAUGACAUCAUCAGCCACUCAGCAGCUUGAUUCUCUCCUUGGGGCAAAAUCACUUAAUUGCCAAGCAACAUGGACUUACAGGAAACAUCCUCCAAUAAAAACUUAGGUUUUUAGCAUGA